Long non-coding RNA from Odontomachus brunneus, 2887 nucleotides. RefSeq lists it as uncharacterized. The record is from RefSeq and is a predicted model, not a curated record. The transcript has 4 exons. Lineage: Eukaryota; Metazoa; Arthropoda; Insecta; Hymenoptera; Formicidae.
AGAUCCCAGGAGCACCUGGCUAGCCGACCGCUCUGCACUACAUGGUACGGCAGCGAGUAAACAGGAUGUGUGAACGACGAGUGAGUGAGCGAGCGUGCGAGCAAUUCGGAGAGGACACAAACAGAGGCGAGUCACGUUAGAUCCUGACAAUAGCAGUAGCUCUGCUCACUUCUGAUCCUAAGAGGUUGUUCAUAGAGUGUAUGGAAGAAUGUGUCGUUUAAAAACGCUCAGAAAGUCACUCCUUUCAACUGCCAGCACACACCGGCGCUUACAAAUAAACAAGAAACCAAUACAAACGUAGAUUAAAGGAAACGUUUUUACUCGAAUUGUGUCGAUCUCCGUACUUGUGUAAAACUGCCUCUCGACCGGUGCGACUGCCGACCGCUAUAUUUCUCUUUUGAAAGGAGGGCAGUACUUCACGACGCCCGGAGGUCUGAAGGAACACGCGUUCCCGCCCUUGCAAUUUAUAAAUGUGCUCACUUUACGCUACCAUUGGCUGUUUCGGAAGUUAACGGGGCUAUAACGCGAAAGGCUACAAGAAUAGGCUUUUCUACGGAAAGGAAUCUCUGAGCGUGAAACGACGGAGGCGUGAAUAAUUCGCAAAACAAAGCGUUCAAAGAGCGGAAAAUGAAAUUAUAUCCUUGCGCGCGACCGGUACGACGUGUUCGCUUCGACGAAGGCGAGCACGUUGAGAGAGACAGAGAGGACGAAGGAGAGUGGCAGAGAGAGACAAAGACAGACAAACAGAGAGAAAAAGAGAGCGAGGAGCCAACGGAUUUCCUGCUAGCGUUACGAGUCAAUUUGCAGGCCGGGUUUUGCCCGCUUCCGAGACAUUCCGCGUCUCCGUCGCGGCUUCUACCGCGGCGACUCGAUUGUUUUUAAGCGGAGGAGAACUCGCUCGACCGUAUUGGUCGAUUCGAGGCGACAACAGCAACGACGACGGCGAUGACAACGAUGGAACUUUCUGGCGACAAUGGCGAGACUCGAGUUCCCUGGCCGGUCGGUCAGGCGAACCGCCAGCGAAGUAAUGAAAUGGACCGAAGGGCCCGUGCUCGAGAGAAAGGGAGAGACAGACAGAGAGACAGAGAGAGGUCCUGGCCCGGAGAAUUCCUCCGGGUGAAUGGAAAUCCUCCCGCGUGUUUACAAACAAGCGAAACUGGUUCCGAAGGUUCUCGCUUAUGCGAGAACGGACACGCCCUAGCCGAGCGUGCGAAAGAGCCUCGCACGGAGGAGGAACAAAGCGGCCGCUAUCCUUUGUUUCAACCAUUCCGCAGCCCACAGGGAGGAUAUACUAACGUCUUUGUGGACACACGAAGCAUGACGCCUCAAUUAAGUCUACAUCGAUUAAUUAGAGUCCCGGUGAGUUGUUUACAGACUGUAAUUUCAGUUGGGCAAACUUCCGAUUCGUCGGAGCGUCUGUCGUGGAAAUUAAGAUCGAGGACUCCGCUCGGACGUGUUAUCAUCGAAAGCGGCUUCUUACAAGAGCCUCCAUACUUCAGCCGGAAAUGCACCCGUACAUCCGGGCCGCAGCUGGUUGAGUAAUUCACGUUGUACCUGCAACUAAUCUACUCUCGAGCGUCGUGGAAAUGCGUCACUCCGAAUGCGGGAUUCUAAUCCCGAUCUUCAUUUCCGCGACUCUGAAACGUCCGAUUGGACGCGACUGUACGCAGGGAAAAAGAUUUCUUUGGAUUUAAUAAACUUUAUUGCAUUCAAACAAAUUUCAUCAUUGGAAUGAUCCGAAGAAACUAAUGGCCAUUCUACAAUUGCGUGAUCGUUAGUGAUUACGAUGACCAGUAAUUAAAUAAAGUAAAUAAAUAAAACACUCUGGUCAGGCCUUACGAGCACACUUACGCAAUUAUAAAUAUUUCGGUCAAUAAGUACGACUGUACGAUUGUGUGGACUUUUUAAAUAAUAUACAGGGUGUCCCAGAACAAUCUACGAAUCUCUCGUGAGAACGUAGAGCGGGUCGAGAUGAACAUAAAAGUCCUAUACCGUUUUGCAAUAUUUAUAAUAAUAACCGAGAAAUUAAUUACGAAAGAUUAAGGAAAAGCGUGCGUUGAAUGGUAGAGGAGCGAUCGAAUCUGCGCAGCCCAAUAAUAUAGCAUGCGGAUGCCGGUGCGGGAUGAGUGGAAGAACAUCGCACCAAUGCCUGUACUUAUAUCCAAUGAUGCGAUUUCGAACCCGCGCACGCUGAUUGAGCACGCAAACAAGAUCCGGAUCCGCGCUGCAGCUCGAGCGCUUCUCCUCCAACUAUUCAGCGCGCGUUUUUCCUUAAUUUUUCGCAAUUAAUUUCUCAACUAUUAUUGCAAAUAUCACAAAAUGAUGUAAGACUUUUAUGUUCAUCUCGACCCGUUCUACGUUCUCACGAGAACUUCGUAGAUUGUUCUGAGACACCCUGUAUAUCUUCUUAAAUAAAAUAUUUAUUUGAAACGAAAAACAUAUUAAUUUUAGCUUCAAAAUGAUAUUGUUUCAUUUAACCGAUCAUAUCACAGGAUCCAAACGUUUGCGUAUCUUUCUGUAAAGUUUCGAUCCUAAACAACAUGGCCGACACCCUCGUCCAUGCUGACCGCAGUUGAGCAUUGCUUAACUUUGAUGAUCAAGCAAGCUGCGACGAUCCUUAUGCUCCGAAGAUAUUCUUACGACUUGUACUUAUACAAUGUAUUCUUAUAGUGUUCACGGUACAUUGUAACAUUUACUGACAAGUAUUGAGACAACACAACAACAUUCGACUUGCGACGUAUAUUAAUUAAAUGUAUAUUAGUGAACCAAUGAUUCCAUGAUUGCUUUCAUAUUUUUAACAUAAUAUUUUAAUGGUUAAUCCAAAAAAAGAUUGAAACAAAUUCUAAGAAAUCCAAAUCAAAUAACUCGAAUUAUUAAAUCUAAAAAA